AUGUGCUCCCAGUGCCGCAAGGUCUCCCCGGCUCCCUCCGCUCUCCCAGCCCUGCUCCAGGAGCUGCCCUGGAGGAGCCGAGGUGGAUCCCUGGGAUCCAAGAAGCCUCUGGUAUUCCCAGGAAGAGGCCCCAGGGGACCCAGAGAAUUCCCGAGUCUCCGUUUGGGGCUGGAAUGCCCGGAUGAAUCCCAGGAGAGAUCCAGCGUGAUCCGUAACUCCCCACCAGAGCGUCCAGCCCCGGAGCCAAGGUGCUCCAGAGCUUCCAGCACCAUCCCUCGCUCCAGACCCAGGACACCACCUGGAGCCCGAUGGAGUCAAAUCCAUUUAAAUCCCUUUAAAAUCCCGUUUUCCCGGGAUCAGGAACCGCCGAGAUCCAACUCCUCCCGCUCACCUGGGCACGCUCCCGCUGCCCGAGCCCCCCCGAAUCCCAGGAUCCCGCGGGAAACCCACGGCGCCGGCUCCUCAUCCGGAGCCAUCCGGCCGCAAUCCCGCUCCAGGGGCUUCCCGGAGCCCGGCACCAGGCGGCUCCAAUUCCAUCUGGGCUCGGCACAUCCCGACGGCGGCGUCAUAAAACGCGUUCCGGCACGGAACACAAAAUGGCUGGCUCCCAGGGCCAGCGUUCCCGAGGAACGCCAGGAAAAGGAUAACAACCUAAAAAGAUCCAACGUGGGGAAACCUGACCCUGCUCCAACACACCGGUCCCAGACCCUGGAUGUCCUGGAUUCCAGAUCUCUCAGAUUCCAGAUCUCCCAGACCCCGGAUCUCCCUGACCCCGGAUCUCCCUGACCCCGGAUCUCCCAGAUCCCGGAUCUCCCAGAUUCCAGAUCUCCCAGACCCCAGAUCUCUCAGAUUCCAGAUCUCCCAGACCCCGGAUCUCCCGGAUUCCGGAUCACCACCACCAGCCUGGGACAUCCCCGGAUUCUGCAGCUCCGGGUCAAGUACAAAACUAACGAUGGGAAGCGGGAAAAGCGGGAAAGGAGGAAAAUCUUCCCUCCCAAAAAGUGCUUCCCUUCCCUCCUGAGGUUGUGUUUUAUCCAACUCCAUCUCUCGGGAACUGGGAAUGCCGCUGCCGUGUCCGGCACACCGGCCUCACACCUCAUCCCACCCCGGGGGUUUUGGGAUGCGGGAGGAGAGCAGGAAUUCCAGCAGGAAUCAUGCCCUGAAAUGGGGGGAAAAGACAGAAAAACUCCACAAAGUCUGGGAGAGAGAUAAAAAUUCCAGAGGGUCCGGCUGGGACGGGCGGUUCUGGAAAACGCUCCGGGAAAAUCAAAUGCAAUAAAAACCGCUGGGAUGGGAGGUGGGGGGGAGGG
This 1310-nucleotide long non-coding RNA is filed under the name Parus major (Great Tit). RNAcentral's name for it is "lncRNA (ENSPMJG00000003071.1)". The record is from RNAcentral. Lineage: Eukaryota; Metazoa; Chordata; Aves; Passeriformes; Paridae.